RNAcentral lists this ribosomal RNA (496 nucleotides) under uncultured bacterium. RNAcentral describes it as "partial 16S ribosomal RNA". It matches the Rfam family "Bacterial small subunit ribosomal RNA", at positions 29 to 507 of the family's 1533-position model. The record is from RNAcentral.
AUGAACGCUGGCGGCGUGCCUAAUACAUGCAAGUCGAGCGAACGGACGAGAAGCUUGCUUCUCUGAUGUUAGCGGCGGACGGGUGAGUAACACGUGGAUAACCUACCUAUAAGACUGGGAUAACUUCGGGAAACCGGAUCUAAUACCGGAUGAUAUUUUGAACCGCAUGGUUCAAAAGUGAAAGACAGUCUUGCUGUCACUUAUAGAUGGAUCCGCGCUGCAUUAGCUAGUUGGUAAGGUAACGGCUUACCAAGGCAACGAUGCAUAGCCGACCUGAGAGGGUGAUCGGCCACACUGGAACUGAGGCACGGUCCAGACUCCUACGGGAGGCAGCAGUAGGGAAUCUUCCGCAAUGGGCGAAAGCCUGACGGAGCAACGCCGCGUGAGUGAUGAAGGUCUUCGGAUCGUAAAACUCUGUUAUUAGGGAAGAACAUAUGUGUAAGUAACUGUGCACAUCUUGACGGUACCUAAUCAGAAAGCCACGGCUAACUACGUG